RNAcentral lists this non-coding RNA (23 nucleotides) under Cricetulus griseus (Chinese hamster). The record is from RNAcentral. Lineage: Eukaryota; Metazoa; Chordata; Mammalia; Rodentia; Cricetidae.
AAAAUGGAGGAGAGCAAGGCAAA